This 497-nucleotide ribosomal RNA is filed under the name uncultured bacterium. Its description in RNAcentral is "partial 16S ribosomal RNA". It matches the Rfam family "Bacterial small subunit ribosomal RNA", at positions 28 to 508 of the family's 1533-position model. The record is from RNAcentral.
GAUGAACGCUGGCGGCGUGCCUAAUACAUGCAAGUCGAGCGAACAGACGAGGAGCUUGCUCCUCUGACGUUAGCGGCGGACGGGUGAGUAACACGUGGAUAACCUACCUAUAAGACUGGGAUAACUUCGGGAAACCGGAGCUAAUACCGGAUAAUAUAUUGAACCGCAUGGUUCAAUAGUGAAAGACGGUUUUGCUGUCACUUAUAGAUGGAUCCGCGCCGCAUUAGCUAGUUGGUAAGGUAACGGCUUACCAAGGCAACGAUGCGUAGCCGACCUGAGAGGGUCAUCGGCCCCACUGGAACUGGACCACGGUCCAGCCUCCUCCGGGGGGCGGCAGUGGGAAAUCUUCCGCAAUGGGCGAAAGCCUGACGGAGCAACGCCGCGUGAGUGAUAAAGGUCUUCGGAUCUAAAAACUUUUUUAUAAGGGAAAAACAAAUGUGUAAGUAACUAUGCACGCCUGGAGGGUCCCAAAUCAGAAACCCACGCCUAACUACGGC